Long non-coding RNA from Ylistrum balloti, 2844 nucleotides. RefSeq lists it as uncharacterized. The transcript has 2 exons. Lineage: Eukaryota; Metazoa; Mollusca; Bivalvia; Pectinida; Pectinidae. The record is from RefSeq and is a predicted model, not a curated record.
UUUCCUCAUUGACUUUAGAUUGUAACAAGUUACCCUCAUCAGCUUUAGAUUGUCACAAUUUUCCCUCAUUACUUUUAGAUUGUAACAAGUUACCCUCAUCAGCUUUAGAUUGUCACAAUUUUCCCUCAUUACUUUUAGAUUGUAACAAGUUACCCUCAUCAGCUUUAGGUUGUCAUAGUUUUCCCUCAUUGACUUUAGAUUGUAAAAAGUUACCCUCAUCAGCUUUAGGUUGUCACAAUUUUCCCUCAUUGACUUUAGAUUGUAACAAGUUACCCUCAUUGACUUUAGAUUGUAACAAGUUACCCUCAUUGACUUUAGAUUGUAACAAGUUACCCUCAUCAGCUUUAGAUUGUAACAAGUUACCCUCAUUGACUUUAGAUUGUAACAAGUUACCCUCAUCAGCUUUAGAUUGUAACAAGUUACCCUCAUCAGCUUUAGGUGGUCACAAUUUUCCCUCAUUGACUUUAGAUUGUAACAAGUUACCCUCAUCAGCUUAGAUUGUCACAAUUUUCCCUCAUUGACUUUAGAUUGUAACAAGUUACCCUCAUCAGCUUUAGAUUGUAACAAGUUACCCUCAUCAGCUUUAGAUUGUAACAAGUUACCCUCAUCAGCUUUAGAUUGUCACAAUUUUCCCUCAUUACUUUUAGAUUGUAACAAGUUACCCUCAUCAGCUUUAGAUUGUAACAAGUUACCCUCAUCAGCUUUAGGUUGUCACAAUUUUCCCUCAUUGACUUUAGAUUGUAACAAGUUACCCUCAUCAGCUUUAGAUUGUAACAAGUUACCCUCAUCAGCUUUAGAUUGUAACAAGUUACCCUCAUCAGCUUUAGGUUGUCACAAUUUUCCCUCAUUAACCUUAGAUUAUAAAGAUCAUCAUCAUGAUGUAAAUCUUCAGUGUGGGAGAAAUAAUGUGAAAUUUGUAUAACCUCGUUCUUCUAUGCAGAUAACAAUAGGUGUACCUCUCUUUAUAUUUUUGAUACAUAUUCCUUCAAAUGUGAGGGAGAAAAAAUAAGUACUAAUGUUUCAUGCUUCUACUUCUGUGUUAUAAAUGUUUAUAGUGAUAAACCUAUUUGUUUUCACUGCUACCUUAGCUGUUUUUCUGUUGACAUAACUUUGUGAUGAUAAACCAAGAUCAUGUUACAUUUUGUAAUCCAGAUUGUUUUUGCUGCUAAUGUGAGCUGUAUUCGCAGCUUCUGUGUGCCAUUUUUCUGUUGCCAUAACAUUAAUGUGAUGGUCCAAGAUAGAGUUACAUUGUAGUCCUGCCUGUAUUCGCAGCUUCUGUGUGCCAUUUUCCUAAAUCCUACAUGAUGUGCCUGUUUGUUCUUACCACAGAUUUUACAUAGUAUAUGUUAAGCUUCAAGCUUUGCCAUUAACCACACCCCAGUAUCAUGAAACAAUUUUAAGCCUAAAACUAUCCUAAAUUUUGAGCUACUUAAUUACAGAUAACAUCAUGGAAAGAGACAUUUUGUUCAAUUGGCUUAACAAACACCUUAGUUUUGGAUCGUUUCCUGAUCUCCGGCCAUAUUUUAUUUAUUCAGAUGAACAUCAACAUGAUGUGAUAUUGUUCUCACUCUUUAUUUGGUAUUUGAUACAUUAGUAACUGCCUUCUGAGUUAGAUCCAGAAUAGAAGUUUUCUCUUAUUUUAGUCACACCAAUCAAUGAUUUUCCGAUUUUGUUAGCUCUAGGCAUUUUUAGUCUGUGAAAUAAAUCUACACUGUCAAAGGGAAUUUUAAGUGGUGAUGCACUAUUCUGUUGUGAAGAGAUGCUCUAAUGAGGAAAAUAAAGAGAAAUGAUUUUAUCACAUAUUAGACACAGUUUCUUAAUUUCAAACUACAAAAAAAUUCCAAGGGCUGAAAGAAAUGGCUUGGACCUUUUGUAAGUUCUACAGUACAGUAUGUCACCUGGAACACUCAUUUAGGCAAAAUUCUAUUAAAAAUUUGUGAUGCCAAGGCAAACAAAUAUGUCUGGAGGUAGAAACUAAUUAAAGGAACGACUCACGAUAUAGCCAACUUGAAAGGCAUUCAAUAUUUCAGAAUGAUGCAAACAUGUAUUGGUUUAACCAUUUUAUAUAUUGGAUGAUUAUUGUCUGACAUGUUUGCUGACAGCUUCUGUAUCAAAGUAAUAAGGCUUAUUACACAACAGAGAUGUAAAAUUUGUAGUCAUUAUUACUAAUGCUGAAAUAUAUUAGGGUGGGCUUAUUAACAGGCAUGGAUUUUAUGUAAGAUAAACACUGUAUUUUUCAUACUAGAGUUGCUCUUAACAUUCCAGCUGUCAAAAUCUAAUGAUUUACUGGGUAAAAGUUAUAAUAAUUUUACUUUGACAGUGAAAGUUUUGUUCAUAUUAAUUAGUGCAAAUUACAGUUCUAAAAGUUAUUUUUUGUGAAAGUAAAUAAAAAAUGAAAUGACAAUCAUAGUGAUAAAUAUUUGUAGACAUUUUUCCAUUAUACUGAUGUAAUGUCAUUAUAAGUUUUUGCCAAAAAUGUUCUCAGAACAUUAAGAGUAGUCUAUAUUGAAAUCAUAUUGCAAUCUGGUAAUUGAAUAUACAUAUUUAGUGUAGUUUCUCAUAGCUGCUAGAAUUACAGAGUAUGUCAAGAAAUUCAAAAGUAUAUUGUAAAACAAUCAAAAACUAUAUUAAGGUAUGUUUUAUUAAAUUAUGAGAGACAAUUGGCAUGAAAAUUAACAUUUCGUUAUUCACCAAUAGCUGGUUAACAACGUAUUUGAGAUGUUGAAAUAAAAGACAACACACAGUGAACGUUGAACUGUCCACAGAUUCUGAUUACUCAUGAACUAUUAACUACAUAUAUCUUUCUGCUUGCUGUGAUAAUAAACUUUAGUGCCUAAAAAUGAA